This 83-nucleotide non-coding RNA is filed under the name Sneathia sanguinegens. Its description in RNAcentral is "TPP riboswitch (THI element)". It matches the Rfam family "TPP riboswitch aptamer (THI element)". From Rfam's summary of the family: Vitamin B(1) in its active form thiamin pyrophosphate (TPP) is an essential coenzyme that is synthesised by coupling of pyrimidine and thiazole moieties in bacteria. The previously detected thiamin-regulatory element, thi box was extended, resulting in a new, highly conserved RNA secondary structure, the THI element, which is widely distributed in eubacteria and also occurs in some archaea. The record is from RNAcentral. Lineage: Bacteria; Fusobacteriati; Fusobacteriota; Fusobacteriia; Fusobacteriales; Leptotrichiaceae.
CAAACAGGGGUGCUAUUUUAAUGGCUGAGAUUAUACCCUAAACCUGAUACAGGUAAUACUGGCGUAGGGAGUUUAUGUUUUUU